Molecule: ribosomal RNA, 492 nt
Filed under: uncultured bacterium
Lineage: Bacteria
Description: bacterial SSU rRNA
Rfam family: Bacterial small subunit ribosomal RNA
Source: RNAcentral
GAUGAACGCUAGCGGCAGGCUUAACACAUGCAAGUCGAGGGGUAUAGUUCUUCGGAACUAGAGACCGGCGCACGGGUGCGUAACGCGUAUGCAAUCUACCUUUUACAGAGGGAUAGCCCAGAGAAAUUUGGAUUAAUACCUCAUAGUAUGUGAGAAUCGCAUGGUUUUCACAUUAAAGUUCCAACGGUAAAAGAUGAGCAUGCGUCCCAUUAGCUAGAUGGUAAGGUAACGGCUUACCAUGGCGACGAUGGGUAGGGGUCCUGAGAGGGAGAUCCCCCACACUGGUACUGAGACACGGACCAGACUCCUACGGGAGGCAGCAGUGAGGAAUAUUGGUCAAUGGGUGCAAGCCUGAACCAGCCAUCCCGCGUGAAGGACGACUGCCCUAUGGGUUGUAAACUUCUUUUGUAUAGGGAUAAACCUACCCUCGUGAGGGUAGCUGAAGGUACUAUACGAAUAAGCACCGGCUAACUCCGUGCCAGCAGCCGCGGU